CACACACACCCGCGUGGCCUGGGCUGUGAGUCGCGGAGCAUCCCGGUGGGUUGCGGUGGGGCGCCGCGCCGAGGCUUGCCUCCCCGGGAGCCCGCUCAGUCUCAGGCUCGGCCCUGGGCAACCCGCCCGCGCCUCGUUCGCCCGGUGCAGAAAUCCUACCGCCCGUGCGCCCUGGGCGCGCCGCCGGGCCCCGUGCCGGCUCCCCGGGAAUGCGGCCGUCAGGUGAGUUUCUCCUUCAGAUGCGAAAAGAGAGAUCGCAGGAAUCCAUGCCCAGAUCCAGCCUAACUCGGUCCACAGGCAGAGAGAGAAUUAUGAAUGGAUGCUGCCUUCUGAUGAGGAAGUCGACUGGGGAGGUCUCUGCGCACGGCGCGCUCCAUCAAAGCAGGGGCAUUGGCCCCUCCACUGCUUCAAUGCUGCAGGCUGAGCCACCUAAUUGACCACUGGGAAAUCAGGUGCCAGGAGACCUGGGCGGGACGUAGCCCCGGGGCCACGCUGGGAUCCAGUGCCUUGCCGGCGUAGACAGCUUCGAUUUACAGCCCAGUGAAUGGAGACGACUGCGGCAGCCAAACCUCCCGGGCAGCAGGCACGGUUGCACCAACGCUCCGCAGACAGCCGCCAGGCUCCUCAAACAUUUCCUGGCUCCACUGGGCUAACGGGGACCUGGCUAAAAAGAGUCUGUCCCCUGCCGCCAGCCGCAGUGAGCUGCAGGACUCAGCCCCAGCCCCAAACUCGGCAGCGCAUGGGAACCAGCCACCGAGCCCCGGCCUGUGCACCUAGACAAGCUAGGGGCUGCGGAGGAUCCCGGAUCCGGAUUUCUUGUACCUGUGCGUUUCCUUCUCCGGUAGUACGACCGCUGGGGCUGCGUGUUACCCAUGCCCAGAGUGGCGGCAGGCUCGGCACAUCACCAACAGGCUGGACCGACCGCGGCUGCUCAGCACCGCACCCCCGUGGCUCCCCUCUCACUUCCCUUGUCUCCAGUCUCAGGAUAACAGCACAGGAAUCACAGACGCUGACCGUGCCAAGCCCUCCAUGCUGAGAAAGACGGUGGACAGAGCCUGUCGUAGAGCAUGUGCCCCCAUGUAGCAGAAAUACAGCGGUCCUGGAAAUGUGACAUUGCGUGCCCCCACCGAUUCAUCUCCGGACUGAAGCCUCACAUCCUAGACACAACUCACUCUACUCAGGCUUACAAGCACUGCAAGGACAAUGCCUUUGCAGCUAUGUAUUAAUCUCCAGGGAAAAAUGAUUUGCGAAAUCAGUUCUGAGGUUGAACCAGGAUUAAAAACCAUGGCAGUGUGUGCCUUAGGCUGGCAGGGUCUAUAGAUAACAACCUAAUGCAGCAGGCAGAGUCAUUUAGGGCCAGUUAAAACACGACAUGUAUGGGAUACAGCCUAAUAUUUAACAAGAACAACAUCAGUGAAUUAAAUUAUCCAAAGAUGUCUUGUGAAA
Cavia porcellus (domestic guinea pig) is the source of this 1446-nucleotide long non-coding RNA. RefSeq lists it as uncharacterized. Lineage: Eukaryota; Metazoa; Chordata; Mammalia; Rodentia; Caviidae. The transcript is spliced from 2 exons. The record is from RefSeq and is a predicted model, not a curated record.